CUUUAUAGGAGUCUCAUUUCAUGGUCUGACAGACCAUAACACACUCCUCCCAUUGCCCACAAGCUCUGCCAUAAAAGCAGGUUAACAAAAGGAAUUAUAAGAGAACAGAAUAUUCUGAAGCAUUUUAUGCCCCACUGACAACAGGAUCUCGAGCAGAUAAGUGUUUUUGAACUUGAAUUUAGGUCAGCUUUUUGUGAGCACUGUUUAUAGAGGAAAAGUGUGUCAUCCAGUAUUUUAUAGGAAAGCUUAAAGUUUCUGCUUCACAGUUGUUUUACCUAAGGGAAUGUUUUGUGUGAACUGCUGGGAACUUAAUGUUCUUCAUUUAUAUUUACAGAAGCAAAUGGAAUCCCUGAAGGUGAACACAAAGAGCUGGCACGUGUGAGAUUCUCUGCACAGGCCUGUCCCACUGAGUAUUGCUGUUCCACUGUGUGUUUUGGAAACUGUGACUCUGUAAGCAAUUAGAGAGAGAGGCCAGUUAAAGGCAAGGGAGAGAGAUGCCAGUUUGACUUACCAGACCUAGAUCGUCGAGAAGCAGAAUGCAGUGUCGAAGAAAAAGAAGAAGAAGAAGAUGACAACAACAACAACAACGACAAACAUAAGUAUCUCCCACUGUCGUCCCCAAAAUUAGAUCAACAUUUAUGAACUGCUCAAAGUCUUUAACAUUUUUCACAAAAGAAUCUUCACCAGAUCGGCCUCUCCUUUCACUAAUAAUUGGGAGUACAGUAUCAGGUCUCUAAGGGCAGACUUCCAUGCAAACAGGAGCGACCAAGAACUCAAGUGAUUUAUCAAGAUCCAAUUGCCUCAGGUCUUGAACUUAGCCCUGUGAGUGACAAGAUGGCUGUUGCAUCCUGGCCUCUACCCACUGUCUACUGAAACCUGGUGGACUAAGAAGCUAGUAGUACUGUAGCUUCAGCCAAUGCACCAUCCAUAGGAACCCUGGCUGGAGGAGGGCCUGGUGCACUGAUUGGUCCAACCACACUAUUUAAGCCAAAAGGAUGCACAGGAAGCUGUCUGAGCAACUAGGUGACUUCCUGAAAUGACUGCUUGUUCUGGCUCCUGCCUCGGUCCUGUCUUUGCUGCUGUCUCCACCAUGUUCCUUCUCUGUACCUGAUCCUUGUCUCUUUUCUGGUGCUUGUCCUUAUGCCGUGCUUCUGUCAGUUACCAGUCCUAGCUCUGACCCUGGCUUGACCCUUGGCUCUGCCAUUUGGUCUCUGAUCCUGGCUCUGACCCUCAGCUUUGAUUCCUGGCUCUGGUACUUGGCAAUUGACUCUGGUGCUGACCCUUGGCUUUGUUGCCCAUCCUGGAUACCUGCUCUGACCAUUAGUCCCACAUUCCAGUCCAUAAUACAUACCCCUUUAGGGCAAAAAUGGCAGAAUUGCAACAAGUACCUCUUUUUUCCUGUGGGUUUCAAGGAACUGGUGGAAGGUAAUGCUGUAAUAUCAUUUACAUGUGGUUCCCACAUGCACUUACGUACUUUGCAUGAUACCUUUCCAUCUGAUGUUUCAUAGGUAGUUUGUGCCUUAAAGUCAAUGGAGUGCGACAGGUUGGGGACUAUAGCACUGGGCAGCAAUGGAGGGAGGUGUUGUGCCUGUAUAAGGUGAAAUACCUCCAGGAGACCCUGAAGGAAGAAUAGUCAGGAACGGUACUUGCUAUUCCUGUACAAAAACUGCUAUGUCUGUACACUGCUAUGUCCCGCACCACAAUGUCGCCAGCAGUACUUCUCCCAACAGUAGCACACUUCUGUUUACAAAGCAGAAGCAGCUGCAUUUUGGCUGUUUCCUGUGCAGAUGAGGAUGGGAAAUAGAGUCUCCCUUCAUCCUCUCCUUUCCUCCUCCUCUCCCCCCCUUUCACCCCAGAAUGCACUUGCCAUACAGAGCAGGGGUCAAUAACUUUGUCUAUGUUGCUGGUGUGGUUGAGAAGUUGCAACUAGGAUUUAGAUCCCUCACAUACAGCAUUACCCCAUAAGGCACACAUGAGUCUGAUGUCUUAGGCUCAUGUAAGUUAGAGAUGGAAAAGCCACAUCAGUUUAUAUAGUCCCGCCUGCUGCCAGUACAGGAUCUUUCACUAGGAUACAUAUAUUUAUGCUUUUUUGUCACGUUUCAGUUAAACAGACUCAUUUACAUGGUCUUAGAGAGAGCUGGAGAACAGUAAACAAAGAUUUCACUGAUUUCCCCUACUACAUGUGCUUUGACUUGAUUUUCAUUCCCCAUUCCUUUUGCAACUAACACUGGUCUACAAUUUUUGAGAAGUUGUCUGCUUCAGAGAUAAAAUGUGCUAUUUAUUAUGUAUUUUGA
Long non-coding RNA from Trachemys scripta elegans, 2294 nucleotides. RefSeq lists it as uncharacterized. The record is from RefSeq and is a predicted model, not a curated record. The transcript is spliced from 5 exons. NCBI's taxonomy places the organism in Eukaryota, Metazoa, Chordata, Testudines, Emydidae.